RNAcentral lists this transfer RNA (73 nucleotides) under Lactovum miscens. It matches the Rfam family "tRNA". From Rfam's summary of the family: Transfer RNA (tRNA) molecules are approximately 80 nucleotides in length. Their secondary structure includes four short double-helical elements and three loops (D, anti-codon, and T loops). The record is from Rfam by way of RNAcentral. Lineage: Bacteria; Bacillati; Bacillota; Bacilli; Lactobacillales; Streptococcaceae.
GCGGAUAUGGUGAAGUGGUUAACACAUCGGUUUGUGGUACCGACAUACGAGGGUUCGAUUCCCUUUAUCCGCC